Molecule: ribosomal RNA, 440 nt
Filed under: uncultured bacterium
Lineage: Bacteria
Description: bacterial SSU rRNA
Rfam family: Bacterial small subunit ribosomal RNA
Source: RNAcentral
CCUACGGGAGGCAGCAGUGAGGAAUAUUGGGCAAUGGAGGCAACUCUGACCCAGCCAUGCCGCGUGCAGGAAGACUGCCCUAUGGGUUGUAAACUGCUUUUAUACAGGAAGAAACACACCUACGUGUAGGUGCUUGACGGUACUGUAAGAAUAAGCACCGGCUAACUCCGUGCCAGCAGCCGCGGUAAUACGGAGGGUGCAAGCGUUAUCCGGAAUCAUUGGGUUUAAAGGGUCCGCAGGCGGUCAAUUAAGUCAGAGGUGAAAUCCCAUAGCUUAACUAUGGAACUGCCUUUGAUACUGGUUGACUUGAGUUAUACGGAAGUAGAUAGAAUAAGUAGUGUAGCGGUGAAAUGCAUAGAUAUUACUUAGAAUACCGAUUGCGAAGGCAGUCUACUACGUAUAUACUGACGCUCAUGGACGAAAGCGUGGGGAGCGAACAG